UACGUAGGGUGCGAGCGUUGUCCGGAAUUACUGGGCGUAAAGAGCUCGUAGGUGGUUUGUCACGUCGUCUGUGAAAUUCCGGGGCUUAACCUCGGGCGUGCAGGCGAUACGGGCAAUACUUGAGUGCUGUAGGGGAGACUGGAAUUCCUGGUGUAGCGGUGAAAUGCGCAGAUAUCAGGAGGAACACCGGUGGCGAAGGCGGGUCUCUGGGCAGUAACUGACGCUGAGGAGCGAAAGCAUGGGUAGCGAACGGGAUUAGAUACCCCCUGUAGU
This 273-nucleotide ribosomal RNA is filed under the name uncultured prokaryote. RNAcentral's name for it is "partial 16S ribosomal RNA". It matches the Rfam family "Bacterial small subunit ribosomal RNA", at positions 524 to 794 of the family's 1533-position model. The record is from RNAcentral.